GUGAGCGUAGCUCAAGGGUAGAGCACCAGGUUGUGGUCCUGGGGGCUGUGGGUUCGAAUCCCAUCGCUCACCCCA
Molecule: transfer RNA, 75 nt
Filed under: bacterium
Lineage: Bacteria
Also listed under: 4 other names
Description: tRNA-His
Rfam family: tRNA
About the family: Transfer RNA (tRNA) molecules are approximately 80 nucleotides in length.
Source: RNAcentral